Molecule: ribosomal RNA, 343 nt
Filed under: uncultured soil bacterium
Lineage: Bacteria
Description: bacterial SSU rRNA
Rfam family: Bacterial small subunit ribosomal RNA
Source: RNAcentral
AGAUUGAACGCUGGCGGCAGGCCUAACACAUGCAAGUCGAGCGGUAGAGAGGUGCCUGCACCUCUUGAGAGCGGCGGACGGGUGAGUAAUGCCUAGGAAUCUGCCUAGUGGUGGGGGAUAACGUUCGGAAACGGACGCUAAUACCGCAUACGUCCUACGGGAGAAAGCGGGGGACCUUCGGGCCUCGCGCCAUUAGAUGAGCCUAGGUCGGAUUAGCUAGUUGGUGAGGUAAUGGCUCACCAAGGCGACGAUCCGUAACUGGUCUGAGAGGAUGAUCAGUCACACUGGAACUGAGACACGGUCCAGACUCCUACGGGAGCAGCAGUGGGGAAUAUUAGGACAA